Molecule: ribosomal RNA, 490 nt
Filed under: uncultured bacterium
Lineage: Bacteria
Description: bacterial SSU rRNA
Rfam family: Bacterial small subunit ribosomal RNA
Source: RNAcentral
AGUGAACGCUGGCGGCAUGCCUAACACAUGCAAGUCGAACGGCAGCACAGCAGUAGCAAUACUGUGGGUGGCGAGUGGCGGACGGGUGAGGAACACAUCGGAAUUUGCCCAGUCGUGGGGGAUAACGUAGGGAAACUUACGCUAAUACCGCAUACGACCUAACGGUGAAAGCGGGGGAUCGCAAGACCUCGCGCGGAUGGAUAAGCCGAUGUCGGAUUAGCUAGUUGGCGGGGUAAAGGCCCACCAAGGCGACGAUCCGUAGCUGGUCUGAGAGGAUGAUCAGCCACACUGGGACUGAGACACGGCCCAGACUCCUACGGGAGGCAGCAGUGGGGAAUAUUGGACAAUGGGGGCAACCCUGAUCCAGCAAUGCCGCGUGUGUGAAGAAGGCCUUCGGGUUGUAAAGCACUUUUAUCGGGAACGAAACAUUGUCGGUGAAUAUCCGGCAAGACUGACGGUACCCGAGGAAUAAGCACCGGCUAACUUCGUG